This 258-nucleotide ribosomal RNA is filed under the name uncultured bacterium. RNAcentral's name for it is "partial 16S ribosomal RNA". It matches the Rfam family "Bacterial small subunit ribosomal RNA", at positions 15 to 266 of the family's 1533-position model. The record is from RNAcentral.
GAUCAUGGCUCAGGACGAACGCUGGCGGCGUGCCUAACACAUGCAAGUCGAGCGGAGACAGGGAGUAGCUUGCUACGAACUGUUUUAGCGGCGGACGGGUGAGUAACGCGUGAGCAACCUUUCCCAGACAGGGGAAUAACACACCGAAAGGUGUACUAAUACCGCAUAAGACCACGGGAUCACAUGGUUCUGGGGUAAAAGAAUUAUCGGUUUGGGGUGGGCUCGCGUCCGAUUAGGUAGUUGGUGAGGUAACGGCCC